Amphiprion ocellaris (clown anemonefish) is the source of this 604-nucleotide long non-coding RNA. The record is from Ensembl. Lineage: Eukaryota; Metazoa; Chordata; Actinopteri; Pomacentridae.
GUUGAUGUUAACAGUGAGGCUCGACGUGUAAAUGCUUCAGAUGACGAAUUCAGCAAAUCAGUUGUAAAUGUCUCUCCAACAGAUCUGAAGCUCAGCUGCCUUGUGACUAAUGCCUCAGUAGUUGGAGUUGUAGCAGCAGCACUGGAGGCUGUGGUUGCAGCACUGGAGGCUGUGGUUGCAGCACUGGAGGCUGUGGUUGCAGCACUGGAGGCUGUGGUUGCAGCACUGGAGGCUGUGGUUGCAGCAUUGAAGGCUGUGGUUGCAGCACUGGAGGCUGUGGUUGCAGCACUGGAGGCUGUGGUUGCAGCACUGGAGGCUGUGGUUGCAGCACUGGUGGCUGUGGUUGCAGCACUGGAGGCUGUGGUUGCAGCACUGGAGGCUGUGGUUGCAGCAUUGAAGGCUGUGGUUGCAGCAUUGGAGGCUGUGGUUGCAGCACUGGUGGCUGUGGUUGCAGCACUGGAGGCUGUGGUUGCAGCACUGGAGGCUGUGGUUGCAGCACUGGUGGCUGUGGUUGCAGCACUGGAGGCUAUGGUUGCAGCACUGGUGGCUGUGGUCGUAGUAUUUACAGCGGGGGAUGUAGUAGUUAAAUUUGCUAUAUUUGAUU